GACGAACGCUGGCGGCGUGCUUAACACAUGCAAGUCGAGCGGUAAGGCCCUUCGGGUACACGAGCGGCGAACGGGUGAGUAACACGUGGGUGACCUGCCUCUAGCUCUGGGAUAAGCCUGGGAAACUGGGUCUAAUACCGGAUAUGACUCCACGGCGCAUGUUGUGGGGCGGAAAGCCUUGUGUGGCUAGAGAUGGGCCCGCGGCCUAUCAGCUUGUUGGUGGGGUGAUGGCCUACCAAGGCGACGACGGGUAGCCGGCCUGAGAGGGCGACCGGCCACACUGGGACUGAGACACGGCCCAGACUCCUACGGGAGGCAGCAGUGGGGAAUCUUGCGCAAUGGGCGAAAGCCUGACGCAGCGACGCCGCGUGAGGGAUGACGGCCU
RNAcentral lists this ribosomal RNA (385 nucleotides) under uncultured bacterium. RNAcentral's name for it is "bacterial SSU rRNA". It matches the Rfam family "Bacterial small subunit ribosomal RNA", at positions 28 to 417 of the family's 1533-position model. The record is from RNAcentral.